Molecule: ribosomal RNA, 465 nt
Filed under: Vreelandella stevensii
Lineage: Bacteria; Pseudomonadati; Pseudomonadota; Gammaproteobacteria; Oceanospirillales; Halomonadaceae
Description: partial 16S ribosomal RNA
Rfam family: Bacterial small subunit ribosomal RNA
Source: RNAcentral
CCUACGGGUGGCUGCAGUGGGGAAUAUUGGACAAUGGGCGAAAGCCUGAUCCAGCCAUGCCGCGUGUGUGAAGAAGGCCUUCGGGUUGUAAAGCACUUUCAGUGGGGAAGAAAGCCUUGGGGCUAAUACCCUCGAGGAAGGACAUCACCCACAGAAGAAGCACCGGCUAACUCCGUGCCAGCAGCCGCGGUAAUACGGAGGGUGCGAGCGUUAAUCGGAAUUACUGGGCGUAAAGCGCGCGUAGGCGGUCUGAUAAGCCGGUUGUGAAAGCCCCGGGCUCAACCUGGGAACGGCAUCCGGAACUGUCAGGCUAGAGUGCAGGAGAGGAAGGUAGAAUUCCCGGUGUAGCGGUGAAAUGCGUAGAGAUCGGGAGGAAUACCAGUGGCGAAGGCGGCCUUCUGGACUGACACUGACGCUGAGGUGCGAAAGCGUGGGUAGCAAACAGGAUUAGAUACUCGUGUAGUC